This is a long non-coding RNA of Alexandromys fortis (reed vole), 11361 nucleotides long. RefSeq lists it as uncharacterized. The transcript is spliced from 13 exons. NCBI's taxonomy places the organism in Eukaryota, Metazoa, Chordata, Mammalia, Rodentia, Cricetidae. The record is from RefSeq and is a predicted model, not a curated record.
UAUGUUUUCAAUUUAAUUUAGGUGAUUGCUUUUUUUUUUCACUUCUAGAAUUUCCCUGGGUUAUUUAUGGAGGCUAGGUGUCUGGUGCUGUUGCCCACUUGGCUGUCAGUUUUCAUAGGCGACAUAGUUAUGAAAGCCUAACUAGUAUCCAGUCACAUGUGCAUUUCCUUCUGUUAUAACCUUUGUUCCACUUCUCGGCAUCCUUUAAUGUUUUUCUUAUGUUACAUCAUAUUUAUUUUGUGGCGGCAGGGACAUGAUCCUACGUGUUUGAGGUCAGGACAGGUUUCAACUGUGUGUUCUUGCAGGUCCUCAGGUUUGGUGGCCAGAACUUUACUCACUGAGACAUUUUUUAAUUUGAUGCUAAGCAGUGUGUAAGAGAAUACCACAGAGGCUCUGGCCAGUGUUGAUGUUUCCCUCCAGGGAAAACUUACGCCGUUCCUGGGCUGGAAAACGGGAGCUAAACUGACUUUUAAAAGACUCCAUUUACUUCUGGGCUGUUGACCAUAGACGAAAUUUUCAUUCCACUGCUUGUUCAGCAAGAACACAUCGAGUACUGCCAAGUGGACCCGUGAGCAAGCCAGAAACCUCACCACAAAGUAAACCUUUCCUUAGUGGAGUUUAACUUCUAGUCACCUCUCUAGGAGACCUAGAAAAUGCUAAUAGUUGAUUUUACUUGGGACCAGCUUCCUGAAGAAAUGAGAGUCCAGGCUUCUCUUCUUCCACGGCCAGGAAGGCUCACACAGCUCUUCUCUUGACACGCGGAGCAGUGACCGAAGGGGACCAGUAAGGUCAGCAGCGUGGCAGCCCCAGCAGCCAGAUUUCCCUCUUGGGAAUGCAAACUGACAGACCUUUGGGACUGGAGAAGAAGGUCCACAGUUUUGAGCACUUGCUGCGCUUGCAGAAGACCCAGGCACCACGCCAGUGUCUCACAGUCCUGUAUUUAUGGACUACCCGCUGUAUGCUGGACACCAAGGCUAUGGUAAAGGAUAGGAGGACAUGGCAGAGCAGGAGGUGCUUUGGACUCCGAGAUGGAUGUGAGGUGGACGUCAUCGCUAUAGACUUUCAGACAAAAAAGCAGAGUCGGGAGAGGACUGACCCAGCUGGAAGGUGUGCCAAUCCUGUAGUCAUCUGUCUAGAGAGAUAGACUUGGACCCGAAUGAGAGUGAAAUAGGUCAUCUAGCAGAAAUGAUUUGGGGACUUGAGUACCCUGUCUUUUAAAAAGUUUUAUUUUGAUUGACAAGAGUUGUGCUUUUUCCCCUGGGGUCCAGUGUGACAUUUCAAUAUAGGUCGGUGGGCAUUGUGUCCUGCCAAAAUCAGUGUAAUACGGACACCAUCAAUACCCCACUUUCUGGAUGGAUGGAACAAACAGAUAGAAGAUCAAUAUGGAAACUGAAGUCUGAGAACGCUAUUAAUCUAGAUCAUUAGAUUUAGAGCAAGUCUCCUGGAGUUUGUCUCUACUAGGUGUGAAACACCCCACCCAGCAAUAGCAGGGCACACACUCUCCUGUUCACGCGGGGGUGUUCUCUAGUGGAGACCACACAGCAUCCUGUACAGCGAACCUUAAUGUGUUUAAAGGUGUUGGAGUCAGGAUGUAUUCUCAUUAGAGUGGAGUGAAUGAAUUGGUGACCGCAGGGUGAGCGGAACACAGCUGUCAUGCCUGUGCCCCGUGCGAACAAGACAGGAAGAACUUCAAGGAGAGCAAGAGCAGAGUGAGACUCUGGCCAAAAGUACAAAUAAGGAAAAGUUUAUGCCCCACAUGUUUCAACCAGGGGGCAGCAAUAGAAACCCUGCCGAAAACAAUUUGGUUCCGUUGUAGUAGGAGUAUUGCUGUGACAGACCUGACCAUGUUUUAGGGAGGAUUGGGGAAGGACUUUGGGACUUCAGGCUAGAAAAGCCAUUGAGUGUUGAGAGCUCAGUGGAAUGUUCUGUAGGGGCUCGGAAGAUAAGCAGUGCAGAAGAUGGAACCUUGGCUUGUGAAGUUUCAGAGAGAAAUUUCAAGGCUCUAUCAUGGCUGUUCGCUGUUUUGAGUGUAGAUUCGACAGAAUGGUAGUUCUGGCCAGCUGGGGCAGACGAGUUGGUAGCGAUGAACAAGAGACUGGCGCCAUUGAAAUGAAGCCUUUGAGUUACUGUGACAAUUGAUGAUGGUUAGCUGGAACCAAGAAAUUAGCAAAGCUUACAAGGCCAGCAUCACUGAUGUGAAAUCUUCUGGGGAGUGUUUCCUGAGAGCCAGCAUACAGAAAUUGUGUCCCAGAGGCAACCAAGGUUGAACUUUGAGUUGGCAACCAAACUUCGUAGCGUCUGAGCCACUCAGGUGGUAUUAGUUUUGAAGGCAUGAUGGGAUCAUGAAGAGCAGCUGAGGCUUGGCACUAUGAGAGGCCAGGAAAGUCCAGUCAUGAAGGUGCAGCCUCAGAGGCAGUUGACGAUCCAGGAUCAAAGGGGUUAUGUAGAGAAGUUGAGGCUUGGCACUAUGAAGAGAGCAUAGCAGACUGUUGGUUAAAGUGCAGCCCAGCUACGGCAGAAGACCCUGGCGUUUCAGAGAUGCCAAUGUUGUGGGAUGACCGCCAAGAACAGCAGCAGCAGUGGAGUGGAGCCAACGGAGUCCAGAAGACAAACUGUGCGCUACAGAGGGCGGAGCCAGACAAGUGACCUACGCCCCCUGGGAGGAGCCCAGAAGAUGGAGCCUUGUUUCAUGUUUUUAAUACAUCAGUGGUAAGCUGGAAGCAUCGACCGUCUGCUCUGUAGUUACAGUCCCUCUCCUCCCAAGAAUGUCUCCUGGAUUGUUGCCAAAUUCACAAAGCCAAAGAGCCACCAUGAGAAUUCUGCCUGGGAGGGAAAAGCAGCUUAAAUGAAACUUCGGAAUGUCUUGUGAGAUGCUGGAUUACAGAGAGAGUCCCUUCUGCCACCUGGGACAGUGACAGAGCCAUGAGGAGUGGCACACACCUGUAAUCUCGGCCCCAAGAGGCUGAGGGAACUCUCCCUCUGCAGCAGUCCCAGGAUCUUAGAGGCCCCGUGCCUCUAUGACAUCCAGUUCAUGGUGGUAGUCAAGAAGUUGCUCCUCUUCCCCGUGACUCUAGGCAGACACAGCAAAGGUAAUUGUACAUUCUCCUCCCAGUGUUGGUGGCUAGCAAGAUGGUCUGUUUGGAUUGACAGAGCACGAUUGUGUGCUGAUCCUUGAUCUGCAGGUGAGAUUAACCUCGACACAGAACACAGGACUAUGAGCAGAGGAGAGGUGUCCUCUCAUGGGAGGCCCAAGUGCUGAGACUAAAACGUGGUGCUUUUGGUGACAGCCGUGGUACCCCACUCUUGCUGCCUGAUCAUCAUGGUCAUGGUCAAAGGUUUAUAAAGCCCUUUGCGUUCAGAUGCACGGGCUUGUUGGUACUGAUUCACCAUGAAGGCUGUGGUCCAUGGGUGGAACUAUCCUGGACAGAGCCAGGUGACACACUUCCUGGCUCUUCUAGGAUCAUUCAGGUGCUAAGUUCUUGAGCCUUGUUGGGAACCUGAGUCAUCUGGCUACAUCGAGUAUAGUCAGGAGCAGGCUUGAGUGCUGGUACUCAGCUUUCUUCUUUUGAUUCAGUCCAGGCACCCAGCCCCUGGGACAAAGCCAGUUCCUUUAGAGUGUACCUUCUCAUCUUACAAACAUGUCCAGAUGUUUGUCUCUUAGGCUACCUAAGCCCUGUCAAGUGACAAAGGUAACAGUUAUAACCUCUAUACCUUCACAAGAGCAAGGCGUAAUGGAGGGAGGAGGGUGCCUUGCUUUAGAGUAGGGCUUUGGACUGUCUCUAGAAUGAGCCAAGAAGUUUAGAGUUGAGGUUGAAGUUCUUUCAGUAGAAUGACAGUGGGUUUUGCCUGGAGCAUCUUUUCUCUCCCAAGCCUUAGUAACAUCAGCAGCUGAGUGUAAAGUCAGAGCCCUGACAUUGGUGGAGCUCCUCAUGGACACCAUAUUUGGAGGUAAUCCAACUCAUUUUGUUCUGUUUUGUUUUUCAUCAGCAAACGUAUCAUCAUGGGACCUCUCACAUGAUUUGCUUGAUAGCAAGGACAAACUGACUAAGCAAUUGUAUUCCUCACGGUCAGUGGAUAGUUCAGAGUCAUGACGGAAGCACCAGCUUCAGUUUCAUGGGAGUCUGCCUCUAGAAAAGUGAGUCCUGUUUUAGAAUUACGGAGUCAGGCACCUUGAUUGUUGCAAACAGAGAUAAUCAGAAAGCAGUAGCGCCAAAAUAGCUGAUAUCCAUGAGAAAAGGUGCUCGGUGCCCCGCUGAAAGAAAUGCAAAUCAGCACGCAGCAUCAUCUCCAUCUUUCAGAGUGGAAGAGCAAAUGAGAACACCGAGAAGACUUGGUUUAUGCUAGAGAGGCUGGCAGGUGGGGCGCGGCUCUUCAUCGAGGCUGGGAACACACCCUUUCAGCAAGUCCAUUCUGCAUGUGUAUUAACAUCUCGCUGUGUACAUUAUCCACUCUAGUGAUUCUAUUUUUAAGAGCGUGCUCGGAGAAACCCUUGUGUGGGACGAUGAAGAUGCACGUGAAAGAUUGUUCAAAUAUACAUUUUCUGUUGUAGGAAAAAUAUGGACAUAAUCUAGGACCCUGCCAGCUAGACUGACCAACGGGGCAAGUUCUGGGGUUCUCAACCAACAGGUUGUGACUCUUGGAGGGGGUAGAACAAUCCUUUUACAGGGGCCACCUAAGACCAUCUGCAUAUAAGCUAUUUACAUUACAAUUAAUAACAGUAUCAAAAUUCCAGUUAUGAAGUAGCAAUGAAAAUAAUUUUAUGUUUGGGGACCGCCGCAACAUGAGGAACUGUGUUAAAGGGUCACAGCAUUAGGAAGGUUGGGCACACUGCAUUAGAGUGGAGACUACCAGCCAGGGUGACCAAUUGGAAUGGUGGCCUAGCUUUUCUCCUUCUGUCACUCCUGUAGAAAGAUGUUCUCACGUUGUAGUGUGCUUCCAGACCAGCUGCAGAGGAUGUCCUUGCAAGCACAGUGCUUGCUCUGAAGGGAAGAAGAGAGUUUAUUUUGAGCCACAUGUGAGAGAAUCCAUCCAGGAAAUGGAGUCACUUUGCCCUCCUGACCUAUUCUGCUGUGGGAGAUUACAUGCAGCUUCCCUAGUCACAGAAGAAAAUAAAGUUAUACAUCAAUGCAUUUACCAGAAGCCCUUGGUCGGGGCAUCAGACAGUUUUCCUUUGUGGGAGACACUACAUGGGUGAAGAGCAGAUAUGGAGGGACAGGAAAAUGAGUGGAAUUGGGGUUUAUGAUAUGAAAUUCCCAAAGAAUCAAUAAAAUUAUGUGAAUAAAAAGGUAAAGGGUAAUAAUGGAACAGAAAGGGUUGAGGUAGAAGAUUGGAAGGCAGGACAGAGGAAGGAAUAAAGGGAGGGAUAACUAAUAAUAAAUGUUAUAUUUGAUUACACUGUGUAAAGAUAUGUCACUGUGAUUGGUAUAAUAACAAACUGAAUGGUCAAUAACUAGGCAGGGGUAUAGGGAGACCUCUGGGUAGAGAGAACUCUGUGAAGAAGAAAGGUGGAGUUGCCAACCAGAUGCAGAAGAAGCAUGAUGGACAAAACGGAUAUGAGGUAAUGAGCAUGUGGAAGAACAUAGAUUUAAAAAAUACAGGUUAAUUUAAGUUAUAGGAGCUAGUUAGAGACAAGCCUAAGCUAAGGUCAGGCUUUCAUAAUUAAUAAUAAAUCUCCUGGUUGUUUUUUUUUUUGUGAUCUGGCAGCCCAAAAGAAAAAUCUGCCUGCAAAUGGCAUCCAGUGUGAGACUUGAACCCACAACUCUGAGAUUGAGAGUUUCAUACUCUACUGACUGAGCUAGUUUCCCUUGUUACCAAAUUAUGUAAGAGAUGUAAAGUUUAUAAGGUUGGAAAACAUAAAAGCUUAAGUUUAUCUGAAAAGAUGUUUUAAGAUCUCAAAAGAUAUUUUUAGGAUGGUAAUACAUGUUUUGAUGAAAUGAUUUACAUACAGAACUUUGGACUGAGGUAGGAUAGAUAAUAAGUUUUCUCUAAAUUUGCCAUAGUAUAGAUAAAAAAGUAUUUCUUUAAAUUUGCCAAUGUAAAUGGACAGGACAUUAUAAAUUUAAUCCUUACCUGAAAAUUAUUCUUUUUUAAUAUUUAUUUAUUAUGUAUACAAUAUUCUGUCUAUGUGUAUGCCUGCAGGCCAGAAGAGGGCACAGAUGGUUGUGAGCCACCAUGUGGUUGCUGGGAAUUGAACUCAGGACUUUUGGAAGAGCAGGCAAUGCUCUUAACCUCUGAGCUAUCUCUCCAGCCCCCCCUGAAAAUUAUUCUUAUUGUUUAUAGUUUUAUUAUGUUAGCAUUAAAACCUUUCCUUUUUAUUUCGACAAAAAGGGGAAAAUGUUGUGGAAUAUUCCUUUACAGUAUGUGAAGAUGUGUCACUGUGAUUGAUUUAAUAAGGAGCUAAAUGGCCAUUAGCUAGGCAGGAAGAGGUUAGGUGGAACUUCUGGAAACAGAGAGUUAUGGAAAGAAGAAAAGGUUGUUGCCAGUUGCAGAAUGGGGAGUACAGAGUAAAGUUAACAGAGCCAAAUAAAAGAAUGUAGAUUAAAGAUAUGUGUUAAUCUAAGUUAUAAGAACUAGUUAGGAACAAGCCUAAGCUGUGGUCAAGUUUUCAUAAUCAAUAAUAAGUCCCCACAUUGUUUUUUUUUUUUUGUGUGUGUGUGUAUGUGUGAGAUGAUGGCCCAAAGAAAAAUCUUACAAAAAGGAUCUUUCAAAAAAUCUUAUGGGAAUCUACUACUAUAGAAGUAUAUUAGCCAGGGUUCUCUAGAGAAACAGAACUUAUAGGAUGAAUCACUUUCUAUACAGAAACAGGAUUUAUUAAAGUGGGUUAUAAGUCAUGGUCCAACUAUUCUAACAACAACAAGACUGGAUGUAUCUGCUGGUGUCCAGUAUAUGCUGGAAUUCCAAAGAAGUAGGAUCUAAUACCAGUGAAAAAAACCUGCCCACGAGAGUGAGGGCCAACAGAAAAAGAUAAAGUACUUUCUUCUUCAUGUCCUUUAUAUAAGCUGCCACCAAAAGGUGUCACACCGAGUUAAGAUGAAUCUUUCAUCUUGAAUUAUUUGAUCAAGAAAAAUCCCUCACAGGUAUGCCCAGUGCCUUGGGUUUUAGUUAAUUCCAGAUGUAGUUAAUUUGAUAACCAAGAGUAGCCAUUACAAGAAGCUUCCAUGUCUAUAUCUAUAUUUAAAGUGGAAUCAUCCUAUUGUGUGUGUGUGUGUGUGUGUGUGUGUGUGUGUGUGUGUGUGUGUGUAGAAGACCCAUCCUGAUGGCAUCACAUACUUGAACGAUGGAACAUGGAGAAAUCAAGUUGGUACCAACCUGGAAGCUUUAUUCCUACUCGUCAACUGUCAUAGUGCUGGAAGGAGCUAUGCAUGCUACUCGAGGAGAAAUUAAUCAUUAACCAUGCUCAACUGUGACCCCAUGAGCAAGAGCAAUGACUGAUCUGGCAAGACUUGUCCACUGGUGCAAUAAUGGCACUUAUGUUAUGGGAGUACUUUCUGAUUGCGUUUAAGACUUCCAAGAUGGAACUCAUGCUUAGAGCUGCUAUCAGGGCCAAAACCAUGUGGCCAAACAUCUCCUAAGUCCUAGGGAAGCACAUACCAUGAUUGUUCUACUAAAUGGACUAUGAUGGAUAAUCUUGGUGGCAAACUUGACCACAGCUGGAAUCAACUAAAAUCCAAGCUACUGGGAAUUCCUGGGAGGGAUUUUUCUUGGUUAGAUUAUUUGAAGCAGGAAGGCCCACCCUCAGUUUGAACCACACCUUCUGGUGCAGCCUAGAUAAGAGGAUGCGGAAGAAGGACUGUUUCCUUUGUGCCCAGUUGCCCUUACUCCUGCUGGCAAGUUUAUCUACCCUAUUUCUGCAUUUUUCUUCACCGGCUUCCCCAGGAUUCCAGCAUAGACUGAAGACCAGCAGCUCUUUAAGAAUCCUCAAGGCCCCCAGCAUCAGAUGGGAACUGCUGAGACAUUCAGUCUCAUAGGCUGAACAGCAACUGGAUUCUUGGCUUUUCUAAUGUGAGACGGCCAUUGUUGAACCACAUCCUACCGAGCAGACCUCAAAGGAGAAGAUGAGGAAUUGCUUCUGGAGGAAGGCCUGCCUCAAACUGAAGAAAUGAAAUAAGAACUAGGAAUCAAAGGACCUCUAUGAUGGGAGUGAGACCUAUAAGAUGGUGGCCUGGUGCUAAAUCAAAUUUAUAGCUUGUAGGAGGUCUUUGAACCAGGUGCGGCAGUGGUCAGGGAAGGCACCCAUAUGUCAAUCAGUAAUCAGGCAGGCAGGACCCUUGCUGUCCACGGUACUGAAUUCCAUCCAUUUGCCUAUAGGAGAGGAACACCAGCAAGCCCACCAGGGGAAGUAAAAUUCAACUGUUUUGGAAGCUAAAACCUCUCCAGGAAGGCGGGCACAAUUAAGUUGAGUCUAUUUGAACUAGGUAUCUUGGGUCAUCUAUACAACUGGGGUGGGGGGUGUCUCUGUCCAAACACCACUGAACUCCUGGCUGGGUCCCAAGCUUGGCAUCUUCACAUUAUGUAUUUCUUCUGUCUGUAGUCAGCACAGGCAGGCUGUUAUGCUUGUUGCCUGAUGAUGAAGGUAUGACAAAGUUCCUCACACUUUGGUCAAGCUCAGGUCCCUCUUGAUGGGUGACAUGAGGCCUCAGCCAUAGAGGUGCCUGCUCCCAGAGCUGGAACUGGUAUUACUAGAUCCACAACCCCCAAAGUAUGUGUCGGUGGCUUUUUGUUGACAUCUACAAGAGAACUUCUGACACUUGAGCAGGUUAUCAUCUUGUUUGUUUCUUCCCUGGGACAUUUCAAAUUUCAAAAUUUUCAGCGUCUGAAACCAUUUUAAAGGUCGGUAUUGUCUUCAAGACUCCCACACCACACUCACGCCAAUGAACAGGACCCAUUCACAUUUCUGUUUACAGGGAGUAUAAAGCAAAACAUGCAGAUUAAAAUGGAUGGUCUUAUUUAAUUGGUCUUUGUUUCUUAACUCACUAUCUCUCUCCCUCCAGGUCCUGGCCUCUUACAUCCCUUGCUGUGCUCUGUGAUCCAUCAGAGCCCUCGGCUCAGCAGCUGUAAUUGCUUCGUAACUUCCUGGGAUGUCAAAGCCAAGAUGGAAAUUUUACGUAUCACUCUACCAAUUCCGUCCUGGCUUUAAUAAUAAGCUGGCAGAGAGGAAGGCAGAUUUACAGCAGGAGAGAAAUGUAAUCAAAUUUGGAGGUAAAAUGCAAUAAGUACAAAUGCUGGUUUUCAUUUGGAAGCUUCUCAGAUAAAUGUGAUCUCACACGGCUCCACAGGCAAGCCCUUUGUUUCUUCUCCGGGAACAGUGGGCCACCCCGAUGCAACAGUGAUUCUCGAAGGAACAGUCCUCCCUGAGGUCCCACGCUCUGUCCCAGCAGAGGUUCUGGUGACUGGAGGGGGAUGGCUGGAGAGGCAGAAAAUGUCAGCUGGAUAAAGUUAUAGUUUGGGUGUGAAAAAUGGCUUGUGUGUUUGAACACUUGCUCCCCAGCUGGUGGUGUUCUGGGAGGUUGUGGAUGGAACCUUUGGGAUGAGAGGCGUGGCUGCCUGAUGUGGUGAUAGCCUGACCCACUUCUGGUCCAAGGUCACCAUUUCUUGAUUUGCUACACAGCAAGUUCCUGUCAUUGCACACUCAUCCACCCAGAGCCACACCCUUUCUGCCAAGAUGGGCCUUUAUCCCCUGAAGCAUGAGCCAGAGUAAGUGCUUCCUUGCAUUAGCUGCUUCUGUCUGAAAAGUAACUAAUACAGAGAAUAAUGAUUACUUGGAGCCUCUGAUAGGCUAAACGCCAGGGAAUAGAGAACUGAACACACACCAGUGUUAAUUCCUCCCAAGUCUCACCUGUCUCAUCCUUGUGGCCACCUUGUAAUAUUAAGCAUGAUAGUCUUUCUAUAGUGUAGUGAGAACACAGUGAGGUAUAGGGAGAGGAUUCUCAACAUUAGUGGGGUGGGAUUCUGUUAGAAUUUUUCUUACCUUUCUCUACAGAAUAAAAAUGGUUAAUGUUUCUUAUAAGGCCCCCUCCCACAAGAUACUCACAAUCCUCUUGUUAAGGCUGGGAUAAUAGGUGUGUCGACCAUCCCCAAACUAGUUACAGCUUAUACCUCUUCACCCGUCUCUGCCUGUCAGUGUAGGUGCAUGUGGAGGCCAAGGGUGACAUCAGCAUGUCUUUCCUUACUCGGGUCCUUUGGCUCCCUCUGAACCUGAAACUCAGUUUCUGAUUGGCUGGCUUGCUCAUGAGCCCCGAGGAUCCUUGUGUCCCUGAUCCCCAGCCCUGCAAUUAUCAGCAUGUGCAGCUGCACCUGGCUCUUCUGCGGGUUCUGAAGAUUUGAAUGUAGAUCCUUGUGCUUGCAUGGUCAGCACUUUCCCUGCCGAGCAUCUCCCCAGCUCCUAGUGUUUCUUGGAGAAUCAUCCAGUGGGUUCGUCUCUAGAACUCACCCAAAUACUUCAAUACAGUAAAUAUUAUAAUAAAUUAUUGUCCUAAUUUUUAACCCUCCACCUAUUAGGUGAGAAUAUGAUACCAAGGUUAAUUUCCUUGCCAAAGUUUGUGAGAAGAUAUUCAACACCAUCAGCCAUUUGGAAAUGCAAAUUAGCUCUCCAUGAGAUGACACCACACAUCUAUUGUCACAGUCUAAAUACAAGACAGUGGAACACUAACGGCUGUUGAGGGUGCGGAGGGCCUAGGAAUCUUGGUCAUUGUUGGUGGCAAAAAUAGGAUGACAUGCUCUCAAAAAGGGGAGGACAAUUUCCUACAAAAUUACAAGGGUCCUGUUUUCCCCAGAGAGGUGGAGACUGAUGAGCACUCAAAAGCCUCUGCAAGAUUGUUCAUAGCAGUUUCAUUGAUAAACACUCCUAAUGGGAGACAACCCAAAUGGUCUCCAUUGGCAAAUAGUUAAACAGACUGUGGCCAUCUGUAAAGUGUCGUCAGUACUGUGAAUUCCCCGUCAGCAAUCUAAACACAUAAGGAGCAAAGUGUCAACGUGUUUAACCACUAGGCUGAGUUUCCAGGAAGUCAUGCUAAGUGCAAAAUCCCCAUGCCAAUCCAGGGAGGCUUCAUGGAACAACAUUUUUAUUCUAUGGUUUUGAUAUGCCAGGGAUGGAGAAUGGAGGAAUGGUGGCUGCUAAGAGGAGAGCUCAGGAGGAGGCAGGAGCCCAUGGAUGCAAAAGUCCUCAUGGGGCUCUGUGCUGAUAGAUAUCAACUAUACUGGUGCUCACACAAUCAAUGUAUGUUGUAGACUUGCGUUCACAGGACACACCAAAACAUGUAACCUGUGACACCUCCAAAGAAUGGAGAAUUGUGCCCAUGCCCAGCUCUUGGUUUUCAUAUUGUAGUGUAUUUGUGCAGUGUUAUCACAGGGGGAAAUGGUCUG